AAAAUGCGAUAAGUAAUGUGAAUUGUAGAAUUCAGUGAAUCAUCGAAUCUUUGAACGCACAUUGCGCCCGCCAGUAUUCUGGCGGGCAUGCCUGUUCGAGCGUCAUUUCAACCCUCAAGCCCCGGGUUUGGUGUUGGGGAUCGGGCUGCGGUUCUACCGCGUCCCGGCCCCGAAAUCUAGUGGCGGUCUCGCUGCAGCCUCCAUUGCGUAGUAGCUAACACCUCGCAACUGGAACGCGGCGCGGCCAAGCCGUUAAACCCCCAACUUCUGAAUGUUGACCUCGGAUCAGGUAGGAAUACCCGCUGAACUUAAGC
Molecule: unclassified non-coding RNA, 314 nt
Filed under: plant metagenome
Description: partial contains 5.8S ribosomal RNA, internal transcribed spacer 2, and large subunit ribosomal RNA
Rfam family: 5.8S ribosomal RNA (bases 1-105)
Source: RNAcentral